Molecule: long non-coding RNA, 125 nt
Organism: Passer domesticus (house sparrow)
Lineage: Eukaryota; Metazoa; Chordata; Aves; Passeriformes; Passeridae
Exons: 2
Source: RefSeq, a predicted model, not a curated record
AGAACAUCACCAGGCACUUAAUGCAGUGCAUGCUAACCAGGCCCAGCUCUCAACUUUUUCAGAUCAGUACAGAUUCUCUUGCCUGUGCAUCUUGCAAUGUGAAAACUUUGCUCUCUGGUGUUUGA